This 426-nucleotide ribosomal RNA is filed under the name Triticum aestivum (bread wheat). Its description in RNAcentral is "partial small subunit ribosomal RNA". The record is from RNAcentral. Lineage: Eukaryota; Viridiplantae; Streptophyta; Magnoliopsida; Poales; Poaceae.
AUGGAACUAGACAAAUUCCUCAUGAAUGGUGAGUACACCUUCGUCGGAUUCGCCAUUGAAGGAGACAAAAGCAAGCUGAAGCUAUCUGGUUUGGAGAUCAACUCUGACAACUACAUUGAUAUUCAGGUGGAAUGGAGAGACCCGUACAAUAAAAAGAAGUUUGACUCUUUGGCUGAUGUUGCCGGCAGGAUGAUAGACAUUCACUACCAUGACAUGAAGAAAAAAAUUAACCGCAAGGAGGACCACACUCCGUGGGGAUUUUGCCCACUGCCAGAAAAGCUUAUCAAGUAUGCAGCAAUAGAUGCAUUCGCAACAUAUGAGUCAUGGAGAAUCAUCUACGAUGUCAUCAUGGGUAUGGACAGGGCAAAAAGAGACAAAGAAGCAAAGCAGAAGAAGAACAAGGCUGUAAUCCAAUACAGCAACUAG